AGUGAACGCUGGCGGUAGGCCUAACACAUGCAAGUCGAACGGCAGCACAGUAAGAGCUUGCUCUUACGGGUGGCGAGUGGCGGACGGGUGAGGAAUACAUCGGAAUCUACUUUUUCGUGGGGGAUAACGUAGGGAAACGUACGCGAAUACCGCAUACGACCUACGGGUGAAAGCAGGGGAUCUUCGGACCUUGCGCGAGUGAAUGAGCCGAUGCCGGAUUAGCUAGUUGGCGGGGUAAAGGCGCACCAAGGCGACGAUCCGUAGCUGGUCUGAGAGGAUGAUCACCCACACUGGUCCUAGGGCACGGUCCGCCCUCCUACGGGUGGCAGCAGUGGGGAACUUUGGACAAUGGGCGCAAGCCUGAUCCAGCCAUACCGCGUGGGUGAAGAAGGCCUUCGGGUUGUAAAGCCCUUUUGUUGGUAAAGAAAAGCAGCAGGUUAAUACCCCGCUGUUCUGACGGUACCCAAAGAAUAAGCACCGGCUAACUUCGUG
This 492-nucleotide ribosomal RNA is filed under the name uncultured bacterium. RNAcentral describes it as "partial 16S ribosomal RNA". It matches the Rfam family "Bacterial small subunit ribosomal RNA", at positions 29 to 507 of the family's 1533-position model. The record is from RNAcentral.